RNAcentral lists this ribosomal RNA (468 nucleotides) under uncultured bacterium. Its description in RNAcentral is "partial 16S ribosomal RNA". It matches the Rfam family "Bacterial small subunit ribosomal RNA", at positions 28 to 507 of the family's 1533-position model. The record is from RNAcentral.
GACGAACGCUGGCGGCGUGCUUAACACAUGCAAGUCGAACGGAAAGGCCCUGCUUUUGUGGGGUGCUCGAGUGGCGAACGGGUGAGUAACACGUGAGUAACCUGCCCUUGACUUUGGGAUAACUUCAGGAAACUGGGGCUAAUACCGGAUAGGAGCUCCUGCUGCAUGGUGGGGGUUGGAAAGUUUCGGCGGUUGGGGAUGGACUCGCGGCUUAUCAGCUUGUUGGUGGGGUAGUGGCUUACCAAGGCUUUGACGGGUAGCCGGCCUGAGAGGGUGACCGGCCACAUUGGGACUGAGAUACGGCCCAGAAGCGUACGGGAGGCAGCAGGGGGGAAUAUUGCACAGUGGGCGGAAGCCUGAUGCAGCAACGCCGCGUGCGGGAUGACGGCUUUCGGGUUGUAAACCGCUUUCGCCUGUGACGAAGCGUGAGUGACGGUAAUGGGUAAAGAAGCACCGGCUAACUACGUG